AUGGAUACCGAGUUGUAUGCUGGUGGCUCCUCUACGGCCGGACCAGCGCAGCCGUUCGUCUCCUCCAUGCCUGCCCCAGCGCCGCCGUCUACCUCCACUAUGGCCGUCAAGGUCUGGCACUCUGGCUGCAAGAAGAAGAUUGCUGCUGUGCAAGAAGACCGAUGGGUUCAGUUUCAGAGUUUGAGUUCAGUACUUGAGCCUGCACUUUCAGUUGGAUCAGCAAGAACAGUGCAGAAACGAUGGAUGAAACUGAAGCUCCUGGUUUUGUUGCUGUUAAAUUUAGGAGCUAUGGUCAGUUGA
Molecule: ribosomal RNA, 300 nt
Filed under: Triticum aestivum (bread wheat)
Lineage: Eukaryota; Viridiplantae; Streptophyta; Magnoliopsida; Poales; Poaceae
Description: partial small subunit ribosomal RNA
Source: RNAcentral